RNAcentral lists this ribosomal RNA (475 nucleotides) under uncultured bacterium. Its description in RNAcentral is "partial 16S ribosomal RNA". It matches the Rfam family "Bacterial small subunit ribosomal RNA", at positions 28 to 523 of the family's 1533-position model. The record is from RNAcentral.
GAUGAACGCUGGCGGCGUGCUUAACACAUGCAAGUCGAGCGAGUGAGUUCUUCGGAACGAUCUAGCGGCGGACGGGUGAGUAACACGUGGGCAACCUGCCUCAUAGAGGGGAAUAGCCUCCCGAAAGGGAGAUUAAUACCGCACAAAUUUACGAGUGGCAUCACAUGGAAAUCCAAAGAGUAAUCCGCUAUGAGAUGGACCCGCGGCGCAGUAGCUAGUUGGUGAGGUAACGGCUCACCAAGGCGACGAUGCGUAGCCGACCUGAGAGGGUGAUCGGCCACAUUGGGACUGAGACACGGCCCAGACUCCUACGGGAGGCAGCAGUGGGGAAUAUUGCACAAUGGGGGAAACCCUGAUGCAGCAACGCCGCGUGAGUGAUGAAGGUCUUCGGAUUGUAAAGCUCUGUCUUUGGGGACGAUAAUGACGGUACCCAAGGAGGAAGCCACGGCUAACUACGUGCCAGCCGCCGCAGUAA